Molecule: long non-coding RNA, 230 nt
Filed under: Anser brachyrhynchus (Pink-footed goose)
Lineage: Eukaryota; Metazoa; Chordata; Aves; Anseriformes; Anatidae
Description: lncRNA (ENSABRG00000021316.1)
Source: RNAcentral
AUUAUUGUUACUAUUAUUGUUAUUAUUAUUAUUUUACUCUUUUUAUAUUCCUUCUAUGUUUUCUGUGGAACCGGCAGGUUUCAAGACGUGCUCCUUGACCAUUGUGAACCACAGGCACUCUUCCUAUAAAGCUUGAAACUCGGUAUGCACUUGAUUCUGAGGUUGAAAACCACUAAAACAAUUUUCGGGGGAUCUGAAAGCCAUCUUUUGCCUGGGCCUUCUACUAUAAG